UUCUGAAAACUCCCAGGUGAGGCUCUUCUAGAACCCUGACUCUUCAUGGGAGACAGAUGGAAGACGGAGCCUCGCCGGGAGCCAUGCCCGCACUCACACUCACCUGGAGGGCUCGCCGGGCGCAGCCUCCAGUGUUCCCCAUGCGUGUGGGGUGGGAAUGAGAAUUUGCAUUUCUGCCGAGCGAAGAUCGCCACUCAGGCAACACUGAUCUAGAGAGGAUUUUUCUAACUCAGCUUGCCUAUCCCACACCUGACCGUCUGUCGUACCCCCUGGAGAGGACCUGGGGUGCACAGCUGGGCAACAGGGUAGUUCUGAUUCAGAAUCGGGGUAAAAAGGAUUACAGAGCCCAUAGCUCCCAUCGUCCUCGUGCUGUUUCUUAGGUGUCCUCCAAGCCCGAAAAAGUUGCCAGCUAGCCACCCAGAAUAUAAAAAGGGAAUUGACAGUUGAUCGUAUUUCUUUUCUUAGCUGCAAGUAAAGUCUCUUGAAACUUAUUGUUGAUUUUCAGCAAACAGCUCUAAAAAGGCUACAUUACUAAUGGUCUAUUACCAGGCCUGGUGGCAAGCCAGCAACCCAGAGCAAGCAAAGCAGCAUGCCAGGAGAUCUGGGCUCCCUUUGACCUCCGUGGGGCUUGUCCAGACUCCUUGACUUCACCUUAUAGGGUAAUGGCCAGGACUUAAGUCACAGAAUGAGGGCUGAGAACACGCUGCUGUCAGAGGAAAGGCAGCGGUGAAAUGAAAACACAAAAGCUGUGGCAGCUCCAUCGGUCUCUGAAAGUGACCACCAGUCUCUGCUGCUGCCCAGAUUCUGCGUCUUCCAGAUGAGCUGUGCCUGGGCUAGGCUAGUCCACCUUGGAAGGAAUGGUGAACUGUUUACAAAGCCAUUCAAGAGAAUGAGAUCAGUCUUCUAUGCUGAGGUGGAAAGAUGUGAAAAAUACUUUUAAGAGAAAGAGCCAGACGCGGAGCAGCGGGUAUGCGGUUGGUCCUGAAAAUUCUCCAGCGAAUGCCAACAGUGGGAUAGCUCUGAACAGCCCUAGAAGUGAAUCAGCCAGACUUUUUAAGGUUCCUGUAAGAACUCCCCCUUCAUUGCUUCUCGUCUGCUAUCCUCCUCCUCAUCCAAGCUGUUCUCAGAGCACAGAUCAGGCCUGCCAGCCGCAGAGGAACCGUGUUUCAGAUACCUCACGUAACAGUUCCUUGUCUCCAGGAUCUUCUAUAUCUUAAGUGCGUAGCUCUGGUCUUUCAUCUCUUUUCCCCCAUUGUCUGCUUCUACCCUGGGCAUGAACGACCCACUUGGCUCUGGCCCUCCAUUCCCCGGGCUGCCCCCCCCCCCCCCCAUCACUUCCAGCUCCUCCUCUGUUCUCUCUCCCCAUCCCUUCCCUCCCACUUGCUUCCAAAGUGAUUCAUGUAGUGGACUUCCCAGCCAGACUGAUUCAGAGCUCUUCUCUCCAGGACAGCUCUCUCUUCCAUUUCAUGGCAGCAAUCUGAAUGUCCAGUCCAGACUCAGCCUGCCUAUUGAAGGGUGCCUGACUGACCUCUCCAGGCUCCCCUCUUCGCUCCCAUGUCCCAAACAAGCAGCCUCAGAAGGCUUAGAGGGACAGUGGGGCUCUGGUCUUGCUCUCC
This is a long non-coding RNA of Mustela erminea (ermine), 1616 nucleotides long. RefSeq lists it as uncharacterized. NCBI's taxonomy places the organism in Eukaryota, Metazoa, Chordata, Mammalia, Carnivora, Mustelidae. The transcript is spliced from 3 exons. The record is from RefSeq and is a predicted model, not a curated record.